UAGCGGAGCGUGUGGUUUAAUUCGAUGCAACGCGAAGGACCUUACCAAGAUUUGACAUGCUAAAAGUAGAAGCUUGAAAGAGGGACGACCUGUAUCCAGUCAGGAGUUAGCACAGGUGCUGCAUGGCUGUCGUCAGCUCGUGCCGUGAGGUGUUAGGUUAAGUCCUGCAACGAGCGCAACCCUCGUCGCUAGUUAAUUUCUCUAGCGAUACUGCCCGUAUAACGCGGAGGAAGGUGGGGAUGACGUCAAGUCAGCACGGCCCUUACAUCUUGGGCGACACACACGCUACAAUGGGUGAUACAGCGGGUUGCCAAGGAGCGAUCCGGAGCUAAUCCCUAAAAUCAUCCUCAGUUCAGAUUGUAGGCUGCAACCGCCUAUAUGAAGUCGGAGUUGCUAGUAACCGCAUAA
Molecule: ribosomal RNA, 408 nt
Filed under: uncultured bacterium
Lineage: Bacteria
Description: bacterial SSU rRNA
Rfam family: Bacterial small subunit ribosomal RNA
Source: RNAcentral